RNAcentral lists this ribosomal RNA (785 nucleotides) under uncultured Methanogenium sp. RNAcentral describes it as "bacterial SSU rRNA". It matches the Rfam family "Archaeal small subunit ribosomal RNA", at positions 1 to 793 of the family's 1478-position model. The record is from RNAcentral. Lineage: Archaea; Methanobacteriati; Methanobacteriota; Methanomicrobia; Methanomicrobiales; Methanomicrobiaceae.
UUUCCGGUUGAUCCUGCCGGAGGCCACUGCUAUCGGAGUUCGAUUAAGCCAUGCGAGUCGAGAGGGUUUAGACCCUCGGCGGACUGCUCAGUAACACGUGGAUAACCUGCCCUAAGGUGGAGAAUAACCCCGGGAAACUGGGGAUAAUACUCCAUAGAUUAGAGAUACUGGAAUGUUCUUUAGUCAAAAGUUCUGGCGCCUUAGGAUGGAUCUGCGGUCGAUUAGGUUGUUGUUGGGGUAACGGCCCAACAAGCCUGUAAUCGAUACGGGUUGUGGGAGCAAGAGCCCGGAGAUGGAAUCUGAGACACGAUUCCAGGCCCUACGGGGCGCAGCAGGCGCGAAAACUUUACAAUGCAGGAAACUGUGAUAAGGGAACUCCGAGUGCCCGUAUACGCGGGCUGUCCAGGUGUUUAAAAGUCAUCUGAAGAAAGGGCCGGGCAAGACCGGUGCCAGCCGCCGCGGUAAUACCGGCGGCUCGAGUGGUGGCCACUAUUAUUGGGCUUAAAGCGUCCGUAGCUGGACUGAUAAGUCUCUUGGGAAAUCCGCCGGCUCAACCGGCGGGCGUCUAAGGGAUACUGUUGGCCUAGGGACCGGGAGAGGUGAGAGGUACUCCGGGGGUAGGAGUGAAAUCCUGUAAUCCCCGGGGGACCACCGAUGGCGAAGGCAUCUCACCAGAACGGCUCCGACAGUGAGGGACGAAAGCUGGGGGAGCAAACCGGAUUAGAUACCCGGGUAGUCCCAGCCGUAAACUAUGCGCGUUAGGUGUGCUGGUGACCACGUGUCAC